AGGCCACUAGCUCAAUAUGGUAGAGCAGCGGACUCCAAAUCCGCCGGUUGGGGGUUCGACUCCCUCGUGGCCUGCCA
RNAcentral lists this transfer RNA (77 nucleotides) under Planctomycetota bacterium. RNAcentral's name for it is "Planctomycetes bacterium (sediment metagenome) tRNA-Trp". It matches the Rfam family "tRNA". From Rfam's summary of the family: Transfer RNA (tRNA) molecules are approximately 80 nucleotides in length. Their secondary structure includes four short double-helical elements and three loops (D, anti-codon, and T loops). Further hydrogen bonds mediate the characteristic L-shaped molecular structure. tRNAs have two regions of fundamental functional importance: the anti-codon, which is responsible for specific mRNA codon recognition, and the 3' end, to which the tRNAs corresponding amino acid is attached (by aminoacyl-tRNA synthetases). tRNAs cope with the degeneracy of the genetic code in two manners: having more than one tRNA (with a specific anti-codon) for a particular amino acid; and 'wobble' base-pairing, i.e. permitting non-standard base-pairing at the 3rd anti-codon position. The record is from RNAcentral. Lineage: Bacteria; Pseudomonadati; Planctomycetota.